RNAcentral lists this ribosomal RNA (446 nucleotides) under uncultured bacterium. RNAcentral describes it as "bacterial SSU rRNA". It matches the Rfam family "Bacterial small subunit ribosomal RNA", at positions 329 to 792 of the family's 1533-position model. The record is from RNAcentral.
GCCCAGACUCCUACGGGAGGCAGCAGUGGGGAAUAUUGCACAAUGGGGGAAACCCUGAUGCAGCGACGCCGCGUGAGCGAUGAAGUAUUUCGGUAUGUAAAGCUCUAUCAGCAGGGAAGAAGAUGACGGUACCUGACUAAGAAGCCCCGGCUAACUACGUGCCAGCAGCCGCGGUAAUACGUAGGGGGCAAGCGUUAUCCGGAUUUACUGGGUGUAAAGGGAGCGUAGACGGCGGCGCAAGCCAGAUGUGAAAGCCCGGGGCUCAACUCCGGGACUGCAUUUGGAACUGUGUGGCUGGAGUGUCGGAGAGGCAGGCGGAAUUCCUAGUGUAGCGGUGAAAUGCGUAGAUAUUAGGAGGAACACCAGUGGCGAAGGCGGCCUGCUGGACGAUGACUGACGUUGAGGCUCGAAAGCGUGGGGAGCAAACAGGAUUAGAUACCCCCGUA